RNAcentral lists this ribosomal RNA (423 nucleotides) under uncultured Candidatus Parvarchaeum sp. Its description in RNAcentral is "bacterial SSU rRNA". It matches the Rfam family "Archaeal small subunit ribosomal RNA", at positions 322 to 747 of the family's 1478-position model. The record is from RNAcentral. Lineage: Archaea; Nanobdellati; Candidatus Parvarchaeota.
CCUACGGGGGGCAGCAGUGGGGAAUCUUCUGCAAUGCGCGCAAGCGUGACAGAUUGAGUCAGAGUGCUUUUCAUAUGAAAAGCUUUUGCCAAAUGUAAAAAGUUUGGCGAAUAAGGACUGGGUAAGACGGGUGCCAGCCGCCGCGGUAAUACCCGCGGUCCAAGUCGCAGCCAUUAUUAUUGGGUCUAAAACAUCCGUAGCUUGCUUAGUAAGUUUCUUGUGAAAUUCCAUGUCUUAAAUAUGGAGCGGGCAAGAAGUACUGUUAAGCUAGAGACUGGAAGACGUAAGAAGUACGUUUGGAGUAGCGGUAAAAUGUGUUAAUCCCAGACGGACUAACAACAGCGAAGGCAUCUUACGAGGACAGUUCUGACAGUAAGGGAUGAAGGCUAGGGGCGCGAAAGGGAUUAGAUACCCCCGUAGUCC